Non-coding RNA from Monodelphis domestica (gray short-tailed opossum), 4353 nucleotides. The record is from RefSeq and is a predicted model, not a curated record. Lineage: Eukaryota; Metazoa; Chordata; Mammalia; Didelphimorphia; Didelphidae.
UCUUGGCACUGCGCAAAGUUCAAGGGCGUGGAGAGAAGAAUGGGAGGCGCAUCGCACCGCAGCCCACCUUUCCAGGCCCCGCGCGUGGGUGUAGAGGCCAGGGCGUGGUGUAGAGCUGAUAUGUGUGCCCCUGGCUGGACUCCUCCUUGGGGAGGGCGCUGGCCCUUUACGCCUCGGGGAGCCCGGGACCGUUCCCUAACCCCUCUAGCUCUCGUGUUCAGAGGAGAGCGCGCCCUCCGCGGGGCGGGCUCUCAUCUCUCCCCGGCAUUCCGGGAGGGAGCUCCGGAGAGGUGAGCCCUUGAACUUUCUUCUCCACCUGUGAGGGUACGCGUGUGGCUCGCUCCUCAGACUGGGUCCCCUCGGGCUGGCCACGCCGUCUCCCCCGAGGCUUCCUCGAAGCCGUUCAGGACUCGGUUUUCUUCUUUAGACCUGAAUCUCCUUAGGCGGACCGCAGAAAGACUGGAGCGUCCUUCUUCAGAAAGAGCGGCGCUCCAGGGGAAAGUAUGGUCAUUUAACAAAUAGAAGGAUUCCAAGCAUUUGUGAAGAAAAGAUCAGACCUGAACAGAAAAUUUGAUGCCUAAACACAGAACUCAAGAGAAUCACUAACAGGAAGAAUAAUAAAAAGAGAGCAACAGACUUGUAUGAAGGUCCUGAUGGCACCGCUGACCUUGAAUAAGUCACCUAGCCCCAUCCUGAGAUUGUUUUUAUGCUUUAUGGAAGCACAAGUCAUCACAAGAACCGUUUUAUUGUUUUCAUAUCCCCAAUGCCUCGCACAGUGCAUGGCACAAAGGUGUGCUUGACAAAGGCUUCUUGAAUUGAACGCAAUUCCACAUCCCAGGGAGAUUCAUACCUUGUCACCAUCAUCAUCUUUAUUGUUGCUAUAUCAUCCUCAUCCUCAUCUUCAUCAUUUCCAUUAAUAAUACUAACAGUGCUAGUCAAUGAACUAGCACUUCUAAAGUGCCUACUAUGUGCACAAUGUUAGGUGCUUUUGUAUCCAUGCCUCUGUGCAUUCUCAGGGAUUGUCCCUCCAUGCUUGGAAUUCAUUCCCUCCUGGUCUUCACUUCCCAGAAUUCUGAGUUUCCUUCUCGCCUGUCAGUUCAGUGCUGUCUCCAGCAAGAAGCCCUUCUUUAUGGAGCUUCUGUGAAAAUCCAGGAUGAAAAUGGAUGAAGAGCUCUUUGAAAAGUAAAUUGCUGGAUGAAUUAUAGAGUGCACUAGUUGAAAUAGCAGCAGCUUUGGGGUGAGAGGACUAGUUCAAAGCCCAGUUAGGCCACUCACUAGUUCUGGGCAAUACCCUUGGUCACUUGGCCUCUGUUGGGUUACAUCCUGCCCUAAGAACUCUUCUAGGUGUAGACCUAUGAUCUGAUGAGCCCACAGAUACUUAAUAGGUGCCUAAUAAUAUCAGUCAAGUUUUUAUUUAAGUAGCUACUGUCUGUCUUACACUGUCCGAGGUCCUGAGGAUUUAAAUAUAAAGAAGGAGCUGAUAUGCCAAUGGUAUAGACAACAGUUUUGUUUAAAAAUAUACACAACAAAUGGUAUAGAAAUGGGUCUUAGUCAAUGACACAUGUAAUACCCAGAGGAAUUGUGCAUCGGCUAUGGAAGGGGGGUGGGGAGGGCAGGGAAAGAACAUGAAUCUUGUAACCACGGGAAAACAUUCUAAAUCAAUUAAAUACAAUUAAAAAACAAUUUCAAGAAAAAAUAUAUUCAGCAGGGGCAACUAGAUGAUUCAGUGGAUUUAGAGUCAAGCCUAGAGACAGGAAGUCCUGGGUUCAAAUUUGGUCCUAAACACGUCCUAGCUAUGUGACACUGGACAAGACACUUAACCCCAUGGCCAGCUCUUUUUGCUUUGGAACUAAAACUUAGUAUUGCUUCUAAGAUGGAAGGUAAAGGUUUUCUAAAAAAAAUGUAAAAUCUAUAUGUAUACACACACAGCAUAAACAUCAUAUGAAUAAAUAUAAAUAUAUACAAGGUAAUUGAAUACAAGAUUUUUUAGGGAAGGAGAACACUAGCAAUUAGGGGAUCAGGGAAGACUGCAUAUAGAAGGCCAUUCUUGAGCUUUGUCUUAGAGACUUGAUCAGGUGAGGUGAGGAAGGAGCACAAUUCUAGGCAAGGGAGAGAGCCAAAGGUAUGGAGGAGGACCUCAAAGAGCUUGCAUUCUAGAUGGGGGAGCUACAACACAUAUAUGGAUAAGUAACCACUAGGUCAUUAGAGAGGAGAGAGAGAGAGUACUAACAACCAGGGGGAUCAGGAAAGGUUUCUUGGGAGGCAAGAAGGAGACUCAGAAUUCUGGGAGGUAAAGACCAGGAGAAAAUGAAUUCCAAGCUUGGGGAGACAAUUCCUGAGGAUGCCCAAAGGCAUAUACAAUGCACCUAGUGCAGUGCCUGGCACAUAGUAGGCACUUUAAAAGUGCUACUUCACUGACUAGCACUCAUUAGUAUUAUUAAUAGGAAUGACAAAGAUGAUUAUGAUAAUGAUGAUACAACAACAGUGGAGAUGAUGAUUAUAGCCAUGAUGAUAGUGAUGAUGACAAGGUAGACAUCUCCCUAGGAUUUGGAAUUUAGUUCAAGAAGUUCAACUCAAGAAACCUUUAUCAAUCACCUCUUUAUGCCAUGUACUGUGCCAGGCAUUGGGAGGAAAUGAGGACAACAAUAAAAUGGCCCUUGUGAUAACUUGUGAUUCUACAAAAUCCUAGCAGGACAUUUCUUCAGUGGUAUGAAAAUGACCCUGGUAUCAUGAAUGGUUCUGUCUGCAAAGGAUGGACAAUGGGCUGGUUCCAGCCUGCUGAAAAGGUUGAAAGACAGCAUAGCAUAGAGAACAGAGAACCAGACUGGUAACCAAGAGAACUUGGAUUCAUAAACCACCUCAAAUUUUUGUAAACCCUUACCUUCUGUUUUGGGAUCGAUACUGUGUAUUGGUUCCAAGGCAAAAGAGUGGUAACAGCUAGGCAAUGGGGGUCAAGUGACUUGCCCAGGGUCACACAGCUGGGAAGUGUCUGAGGUUAGAUUUGAACCCAGGACCUCCCAUCUCUGGGCCUGGCUCUCAAUCCACUGAGCUACCCAGCUGCCCCAAAACUCUUCAUAACUACAAAGUCCAGAAUGAUCAUAUCUCUUGCACUUACAGGUAUUCUAAGGCUCUUUCUGUUUUUCACUUUCUGGGUUCUAAGGUCUCUUCCAGCUCUAACAUUCUCUGUUCUAAGGUCUCUCCCAGCUCUGACAUUCUCUGUUCUAAGGUCUCCCCCAGCUCUGACAUUCUCUGUUCUAAGGUCUCUUCCAGCUCUAACAUUCUCUGUUCUAAGGUCUCUCCCAGCUCUGACAUUCUGGGUUCUAAGGUCUCUCCCGGCUCUGACAUCCUCAGGGUUUUUUUGUAUUUUUUUUUUACAGUUUUUGAAUUAAUUUAUUUAGUCAAUUUAGAACAUUAUUCCUUGAUCACAAGAAUCACAUUAUUUCCCUCCCUUCCCUUCCCCCACCCUUUCCGCAUCUGAUGCACAAUUCCACUGGGUAUUAUAUGUGUCCUUGAUCAGAACCUAUUUCCAUAUUGUUGAUGUUUGCAUUAGGAUGUUCAUUUAGAGCCUACAUCCUCAACCACAUCCUUUCAACCCAUGUGAUCAAGCAGUUGUUUUUCUUCGGUGUUUUUACUCCAAUAGUUUUUCCUCUGAAUGUGGAUAGUGUUUCUUUCUUGUAGAUCCCUCUGAGUUGUUCAGGAUCACCGCAUUGCCACUAAUGGAGAAGUCCAUUACAUUCUAUUGUACCACAGUGUAUCAGUCUCUGUGUACAAUGUUCUCCUGGUUCUGCUCCUUUCACUGCAUCCUGGAGGUUGUUCCAGUCUCCAUGGAAUCCUUCCAGUUCAUUAUUCCUUUGAUCACAAUAGCGUUCCAUCACCAACAUAUGUCACAAUUUGUUCAGCCAUUCCCCAAUUGAAGGGCAUCCCCUCAUUUUCCAAUUUUUGGCCACCACAGAGAGCACAGCUAUGAAUAUUUUUGUACAUGUCUUUUUCCUUAUUAUCUCUUUGGGGUACAAACCCAGAAGUGCUAUGCCCUUUGGGCAUAGUUCCAGAUUGCCCUCCAGAAUGGUUGGAUCAAUUCACAACUCCAUGAGCAAUGCAUUAAUGACAUUCUCAGUUCUAAUGACUGUCCCAGCUCUGACAUUCUGUGUUCUAAGCUCUCUCCCAGCUCUGACAUUCUCUGUUCUAAACUCUCCCAGCUCUGACAUCCUCUGUUCUAAGGUCUCUCCCAGCUCUGACAUUCUCUGUUCUAAGGUCUCUCCCAGCUCUGACAUUCUCUGUUCUAAGGACUCUCCCAGCUCUGACAUUCUAAGGUCUCUCCCAGCUCUGACAUUCUCUGUUCUAAGGACUCUCCCA